UUCUCUCUCACAGCUAUAAUAUUUAAUACGCAUACAAAACCUGCCUCUUUACCCACCGUCUCCGCCUCUUUCUGCCACAUAAAUUCCCCUCCUCCACCGUCUCUCACCGGCCACCGUCGCCACCACCAGCACCAAUUCUCCUCCUCCUCCUCCUCCUCCGUCGUAGAGCUGCUUUCAUGACAGCGGCGCCGCCAUUCAAAGAGCCAACACAAAUUUUCUACAAACAAGCAUCACCCAGAUGAAAUAAUGGCUAAGGGUUUCUGUGAUUUACGACUUACUUGAUGGUUCGCUACUCCAACAUGGCUGUCUUGUUCCUUUGGACACUAUCCCUUUUGGUGCUACCUCUACUCCUUCCGCCGCUACCGCCGCCACCUAUGCCGGUCCUCUUGGUGUGUUUUAAAAACUUUGAGGGGAAGCUUGAAAGGGGAAGUUCAAAGAGGACGAUAACGGCUAGCGGUGAGCUUGGGCCGUUACAUCCGAUCACUACAGUCAUGUCCGGAAGUUGUUGUGGGCUUGGACCGUUACAUCCGACUACUAUAGUCAUGUCUGGAAGCUGUUGAUGACAUCAUUGUAUAGAACAUCGAACCUAUCCAUGUCUCUAACAAUGAUAUGAUAUAGUCUACUUUAGAUCUGACCUCAUGAUUUUGGCUAGUACAAAUGAAGAUGUAUUUGGUGGAUCUUCCGUGGUCUAGAAAUCAGGUAAAACAAUUUAAUUUUGUGAGCUUUGUUGAAUAUUUGUGGUGGGCUUGAACCGUUACAUCCGACCAACUACAGUUAUGUCUGGAAGCUGUUGUGGGCUUGUACCAUUACAUCCGACUACUAUAGUCAUGUCUGGAAGUUGUUGACGAUAUCAUUGUAUAGAACAUCGAGACUGUCCAUGUCUUUAACGAUGAUAUGAUAUAUAGUUUACUUCAGAU
This is a long non-coding RNA of Cucurbita maxima (winter squash), 917 nucleotides long. RefSeq lists it as uncharacterized. The record is from RefSeq and is a predicted model, not a curated record. NCBI's taxonomy places the organism in Eukaryota, Viridiplantae, Streptophyta, Magnoliopsida, Cucurbitales, Cucurbitaceae. The transcript has 2 exons.